Centrocercus urophasianus (Greater sage-grouse) is the source of this 1592-nucleotide long non-coding RNA. RefSeq lists it as uncharacterized. The transcript has 4 exons. Lineage: Eukaryota; Metazoa; Chordata; Aves; Galliformes; Phasianidae. The record is from RefSeq and is a predicted model, not a curated record.
UAAGUACGCAGUCAUUUAUCAUGUACUGCUUCGGCUCCUGCUAAAUGACGGGUUUUUUGAUUUUUCAUUACCUUGGUUCUGGUCAAAACAAAUUCCCAAUUCUAGUCCUGGGAUAAUGAUCAGACAAGAUCGGAAAAGUUUGUACUUGAAACUGAAGAAUGAAGUCAGUGACUUCUGCUGUCCUGUUUCAUAAAUGACUUGAAAACUUUACACACAGAAGAAUUUCAAAAAGUUGAAAGGUUACUUAAGAACACAGAAGCACAUCUGUCCUCUUCAACCCCUUAAUGGUGGCUGCCGAGAUUUUUAAGGAUGGAUGAAUCAGAACACUAUCAUUGUUCAGCAGAGGACAUAAACACCUUCAUGGCCAUUACUGACAGUCACCGAUUUGAUUUACAAAUACCUCAGAGGGGAUCAGAUGUUGCCAAAGAGACAGUAAGGCAACAGAGGGAAGCCGGGAACUGAUAUGAGAAAGAAGACAAAGGGAGAACGACAGAAUAGAAAGAAUGCAGAAUAUUGUUCUCAAUAAUAAUAGAGACUAAUAAGAUGCAUCUACCAGCACCUAACUGGCCGUACGCUGAUUUGUCACAGUUAGUCCUCAUAUGCUUUCUUAGACCACAAAUUUUUCACAGUAAGAUAUAUCCUGCUUGAGCUGUAAGGUCCUUGACUUUUUGCAUACUACUAUGCCUAUACUUCUUACUGUAAUAAUAGAAGCUUUCUAUCUCUUUGUUAGAGGCUGACAAACACCUCCUAAAGGAAAUGCUAGAUCAGCUUAUCAUUUUCAACAUAAUUAAAGACUCAAUCAUGAAUAUUCAUGUAGGAUCACGCUGUAAAUAUUCAUUCCACUUAUCAGAACACAGAAAAAAGUGGAUCUCUAAACAAUUUACUAUAUGACCUCUACACAUAAGAAGUUGGGGUGUACAUUCAUCUGUUAGUGAAAUCCUGAAACAGUUUGAGAAAGAUGGAGCUUUUCUAAGAGGGAAAAUACAUGGUUGCAACGUGUUUAUAAACUGCUAUUUCUAAAUGCGAUGUUCCAUUUGGGGAAUAGUUGCUGACCACGCUUAUCCAAAUACCUUUACAGCACAUAUACACAGAAAUAACACAUUGGAAUUUGACUCCUAAUUACAGAAACUGGUUACUAAUUUAACUAUAAAGAUCCCAGACCUCAAAUUCCUGAUCUCAUGCCUUCUCAACUGUUCAAAUAAAUGGUUCAUCUCAAUGUAACUGAAAGCCAUGUAAUUAAGAGUUAAUACCAAUUAUUUUUUUUCUCUAGUUACAAAGCAAAUCAUAUCAUUCAGUUGCCAGAAUAAUCAAAUGCAUUUCAGUAUUAGGUAAUUAAGAAUUAUAUUAGCAAGAAUACAUUUAGUAGUUCAUGAAAUGAUACUUUUACUAUAAAAGUUUGUAUUGAGGAACUGCAGUUUUAUCGACCUCUGUAAAACAGAUGUGUUGUGAUAUCUAUUCAGAGCAAUUCCUUUUGCAUUGAAAACCUACAGUACGAACACACAACCCCAAUCAGAUGACUUACUGUGUUUCAAUGACUGCCUCACAUUUGCAUUCAUGGUUUUAUUUAUUUUUUGUUAAGCAGAAAGCCUGCC